This 74-nucleotide transfer RNA is filed under the name Metaperipatus inae. RNAcentral's name for it is "tRNA-Ile". Lineage: Eukaryota; Metazoa; Onychophora; Udeonychophora; Euonychophora; Peripatopsidae. The record is from RNAcentral.
UAACUAAUGUCUGAUAAAGAAAUACGUUGAUGAUGUAUUAAUCAUGAAUUUAUAGACCAAUCCUCUUUUGGUAA